ACUUCCUACACACAAAGCCCUUUCCUGGCAAUAUCAGUCAGUGGCAAAACCCGUCCACAAAAUAUGGUCAUGCAGGUCCGGUUCAUACCCUCCACUCCCAGGCUCCAGCAGCAACAGAGGAGAAGAGCCCGGAGACCCUCCCCCAUACAUCCCAACCCCCGUUCUGCCCCAGCCAUUUUCCAGGGAAAGAACUUUCCAAGACCGUAAGCUCUUUGUGGGCAAGGAACGUAUCUACCAACUCCUAUAUUGUACUCUCCCAAGCGCUUUGUACAGUCCUCUGCACACAGUAAGCGCUCAGUAAAUGAGAUUGGUUGAUAGAUUUGCUUAUCACGCAGUAUCUAACUGCCCAACCUAGGGAUAGAGCCCAAUGUAGCACUAAACUAUAAGCUCCUCGAAGGCAGGAAUCGUGUUUAUCAACUCUAUGUUACUGUUCUCUCCCAAGCACUUUAUAGAGGGUUCUGCACAGAGUAAGCUCUCAAUUAAAAACCUUUUAUUGAAUGAUUGAUUGCAACUCCAAUGGGAAUAGGGCAGGUGCUAGUGCCCUGGUACUUACUUGGGAUUCUUCUACUCUUCCAUCAGACCUACAUGCAGGAGUUGAGUAGCACCCCCUUCCUAAUGUGACUGUGGGAAAGUAGGAACAGUUGGGGGAUUUUACCCUAUUUAAACGGAUCAGAUCAGAGGAAAAAAAGGUGGAGGCAUGAGAUUUUAGAAUUUUUUGGUUUGACAACACAUUACUAGCCCAGAGAAUAACUACUGAUAUCAGUCGAUCCUAAAACUGUGUCUGCAAACGGAUAAUGAUAUCCCCAUUUUACAGAUGAAAAAACUGACCAGGAAAAGACAAGAUCUUAAAAUCAGUAGCAGAACCGAUAGUCCACAUUCAGGUUCUCAGCCCCCAAGUCUCAGAACCUGGGCUCAUCUGGCAUUCUCAACUGGCGUGUCCCCAGCUUUGAAAAAUACGCAGAAGCAUUUGAACCUUGAAACAAGGAGCCUGUCAGGACUCAAUAAUAACGAUAAUAUUAAUAAUGAUGAUGGUACUUGUUAAACACUUACUAUGUGUGAAGCGCUGGGGAAGAUACAAGUUAAGCAGGUUGGACACAGUCCCUGUCCCCCGUGGGGCUCACAGAUUAAACAGUAGGGAGAGCAGGUAUUGAAUCCCCAUUUUACAGUUGAGGAAACUGAGGCUCAGAGAAGCAAAGGGAUUGCCCAAGGUGAUGCAUCAAACAAAUGGUAGAGCUGGGAUUAGAACCCAGGUCCUCUGAUUCCCAGGCCCGUGUUCUUUCCACCAAGCUCGGCCUCGAGACUUGUAAGCUCAUUAUGGGCAGGGAAUGUGUCCGUUUAUUGUUGUAUCGUACUCUCCUAAGCACUUAGUACAGUGCUCUGCACAGAGUAAGCGCUCAGUAAAUAUGAUCGGAUGAAUGCUUCCCACCCUCCUCAAGAGGAGAAAAGAAAGAAGAGGACAGACAGGGAGUGGCAGCAGCCAAAGAAAGGAGCCCAGGAAAGUAGAAAAGCUAAAGAAAGCAAGCAAGCAGGGUGAAGGUUAGAAACUAUGACCACAAGGGGAAAGAAUGAGGCAGGAGAAAUAGGAUGGGAGAGGAGUAGAACUCACGGUUGGCGGUGGUUGCAUUGGUGGACACUCAGCCACAAAGGGCUCAUCUCUGUUCUCUGUCUAUAUCGUGUUAGCGUUUUGUUUCAUUUCUCCUUCUAUGUCACUUAGCAAUCCCCACUCGUCCUUUUUCUUUUCAGAUUGCGAGCCCCCUGAUUAUUGAAAGGUGAAAGUUUCUGUACCAAGUCAUCAGACGUGGAACAUCUAAUUGUAACUGAUUCAGUGUCUAGUUCCCACCUGUUUAUUUUUUCCCUGUGCUUAGUACAAUGGUCUGCGCACAGUAAGCACCUUAUAAAUACCAUCACUACCAUUACUGGAUGGGUCUCAGGUGAGAAACUCAGCAAAAUUGGAGGGACUGAGAGAGAUUGGAAGAAAUCAGUGGAGGUAAGGGGGACGGAAGCCAGCUGGGAGGUUGAAAGAUGAGGUUGUGCAAACCACUAGCAUUAUAAUCAACUCCUUCACACAGUGUCUUGGCCCUCAAGUCCCUCUGACUGGAUCCAGAGCCAUCCACCGCUUAAAGUGGGAGAGAUUCCAACAUCAUUAUUGGAGUCUGCCCCCUCUGAUCAGUUGACAUUUUAACAAUGCAGUCCAUCAGGCAAAGGAAUUGAACGCUUACCGUGUGCCGAGCCCUGUACUGAGCGCUUGGGAGAGUAUAAAUAUUCACUGAAUCGAAUUUGACUUAUUGAGUCUCACCAGCAUCAGUUGUUGGAGUUUUUGGUAUUAUCGAUGGGAUUUUUUCCCAUCGCGAUCACGUGCUGCCAGGCUUAUGUACAUAUGUGCAUGUGUACUUUUGGAAAGUGAAGAGAAACAGGGAGGCCGACCUACAUGCAAGCACACAGGCUGGUGGGUUUCAUGCUCUGGGGGUGGGGCGGGGCGUCGCUUAAGGGUUGCCUCUUGUUGAGCUUCUUGGGGUGACAGUUCAA
Molecule: long non-coding RNA, 2526 nt
Filed under: Ornithorhynchus anatinus (platypus)
Lineage: Eukaryota; Metazoa; Chordata; Mammalia; Monotremata; Ornithorhynchidae
Description: lncRNA (ENSOANG00000039251.1)
Source: RNAcentral